GUUAGGAAUAUUGGACAAUGGGCGCAAGCCUGAUCCAGCCAUGCCGCGUGAGUGAUGAAGGCCUUCGGGUUGUAAAGCUCUUUAGCCGAUGAUUAUAAUGACUGUAGUCGGAAAAUAAGCCCCGGCUAACUUCGUGCCAGCAGCCGCGGUAAUACGAAGGGGGCGAGCGUUAUUCGGAAUCACUGGGCGUAAAGCGUGCGUAGGCGGCUUUGCAAGUUGGGAAUGAAAGCCCAGGGCUCAACCCUGGAAUUGCUCUCAAAACUGCAAGGCUCGAAUGCGGGAGAGGAUAGCGGAAUUGUCAGUGUAGCAGUGAAAUGCGUAGAUAUUGACAGGAACACCAGUGGCGUAAGCGGCUAUCUGGACCGAUAUUGACGCUGAGGCACGAAAGCGUGGGGAUCAAACAGGAUUAGAAACCCGUGUAGUCC
RNAcentral lists this ribosomal RNA (425 nucleotides) under uncultured bacterium. Its description in RNAcentral is "bacterial SSU rRNA". It matches the Rfam family "Bacterial small subunit ribosomal RNA", at positions 354 to 796 of the family's 1533-position model. The record is from RNAcentral.